Molecule: long non-coding RNA, 199 nt
Filed under: Hordeum vulgare
Lineage: Eukaryota; Viridiplantae; Streptophyta; Magnoliopsida; Poales; Poaceae
Description: long non-coding RNA (HVUL_LNC008858)
Source: RNAcentral
CUUUACUUCUCUCAGGUACUGGUCAUGCAAUCUGCACAUUUGUGUUGAUAGAAGCGGGACUUUCUCAGGCCUGACCAGAUGGUUCCCGAGGACAUGUGUUCAUGCAAAUUGGGUAGCCAUGGGGGCUUCCUCGAGGCCUUGGAGUUGCUCAACACUGAGACCCUUUUUUUAGCAAGAGGGUCGGUUGCCACGUUAUCUG